GACGAACGCUGGCGGCGUGCUUAACACAUGCAAGUCGAACGGAAAGGCCCGGCUUUUGUUGUGGACUCGAGUGGCGAACGGGUGGAUAACAUGUGAGUAACCUGCCCUUGAUUUUGGGAUAAUGUCAGUAAACUGGGGCUAAUACCUGAUAUUAGCGCCUGGUGCGCAGGGUGGGUUGUAAAGUGUCGGCCGUUGGUGAUGGAGUUGGGGCUUAUCUGCUUGUCUGUGGGGUAGUGGGUUACGUAGUCGUUGACGGGGGGCCGGCCGGAGAGGGUGGACGGCGACAUGGGGCAUAGUACAAGGCCCAGACUCCGAGGGGAGGCAGCAGUGGGGAAUAGUGCACAAUGGGCGGAAGCCUGAGGGGGCAACGCCGGGUGCGGGAUGACGGACUUCGGGCUGUAACCCGCUUUCGACUGGGACGAAGCGUGAGUGACGGUAAUGGGUAAAGAAGCACCGGCUAACUACGUG
RNAcentral lists this ribosomal RNA (468 nucleotides) under uncultured bacterium. RNAcentral describes it as "partial 16S ribosomal RNA". It matches the Rfam family "Bacterial small subunit ribosomal RNA", at positions 28 to 507 of the family's 1533-position model. The record is from RNAcentral.